UCACUGGAACAAUACAAUGAACACGCGAACGAUUACUUUUUCAUGUAAAUUUAUGUAACGUUAUCUAUUAGAUUAAUCAAAUUAGCGAAAUUCAAUCGUUAAGUUUCUAUUCACGCUAUUGGAGAUUGUCGGAUUUAUUUUUAUUGAAUCUUCGCUGUUUGUAAAUUAGCAACAGAGUAGGAAACGAAUGAACGCUGGUGCAUGGGAAAUAACGUGACUGCGGAGUGCGCAGGCAUUAAAAAUUACUUCGUUUGCUCUGCUUAGGGCAGAUUGUUUCGCUUCAUCCUUGACAUUACAAAUCGCAGUUUGUUAUUACGAAUCAGAAAAAAUAUAGAAGAUGUAUUCAAAUAGUAGAUACAGAAGCUCAUUACACAAAUAGAAGGUACAAAAACGAUCUCUAUGAUCCGAGAAUAGUAAUGUAAAAUAGUUGAGAAAAAGUAUAUCGAUCCAAUUGUCGACAUUCGUUUACGCAAGUGCAACGUAGAUCCGAUAAAUUUCAAUAACGUAAAUCCAUUAAAAAGAAAAGUUGCGAGUGAAAUGUAGCGUUAAUUUCGUUCUCUAAUGGGAUUAAUGAAUUAAGGAGCUGCACUUCGACUCUCUCGAUGUAUCUAUCAGCGUGUUUCAACAAUGUUUACUAUCACUGAUGGAAAUUUUCUUUACGGCGUCGUGUAAUAUCAAGCACCCGUAGUAUCUGUAGAACCCGGAAGAAGUUUAUGUGAGCGUUCACAUGGAGGCCGGUCUUUGUACGCGUCAGCUUUUAAUCUCGAUUUAAGUGGGAUAUCACGUUAGCGCGAGGGGCGCAAAACGAGAAUGGCAGCGGGGCCAAUUGAAAGACGCGUGCGUGAAUGCGUCCUUCUUCCGUGUAGCUACACCCUUGAGAGAGUGCCGUCUGACGCGCAAAUGCGUAAAUAUUAUCAGAGCACCGGUGAAAAGAAAGAAAAGAAGGCAACAGGUAGCCGAACAUCACGCUUGGGCACUUGCAAUUUCAUUUAAUAAUGAUGUCAUCUACGACAUUGACAUCGACACCAGAUGUAGGCGCCAAUAGAAGAUGCAAAGAAUGCGAAUAAACAGGCACGUAAUUUAUGCGAAGAUCUGAAACGCAAAUGUGACCUUAACCGAAAGAACACGAGCGUGGGUACACCCUUGUUCAUAAGUUUAUUAGAACACAUGUAAAAACUUGUGUAAAUUUAAAUUACUAAGAAAUUCCUGACACGUGCAAAAAUUAUCUCAUUUGAAACGUUGGACUAUAAAGAAUCUAUGGUUUGGAAUUUCAGAAUGAAAAAUAAUUUUAAACAGUUGAACAUCCAAACACGUAUUAGCACGUUUAUGAAAACCUACUUAGACAGAUUUGCCAAAUCAUUAAGAAGUAAGUUAUGAUCGUCGGACUAUGAAGCACUGAUAUUUUGAGACAGUAACAUCAGAAAUAGUUUCAAAUAUAAAAUAUCAAAUGAUUUCACUCGGAGAAUGAAUAAUUUGCUUGUAUAAAUAUACCAAUGCAUAGAUA
This is a long non-coding RNA of Bombus terrestris (buff-tailed bumblebee), 1504 nucleotides long. RefSeq lists it as uncharacterized. Lineage: Eukaryota; Metazoa; Arthropoda; Insecta; Hymenoptera; Apidae. The transcript is spliced from 2 exons. The record is from RefSeq and is a predicted model, not a curated record.